GACGAACGCUGGCGGCGUGCCUAACACAUGCAAGUCGAACGGAAAGGCCCUGCUUUUGGGGGGUGCUCGAGUGGCGAACGGGUGAGUAACACGUGAGUAACCUGCCCUUGACUUUGGGAUAACUUCAGGAAACUGGGGCUAAUACCGGAUAGGAGCUCCUGCUGCAUGGUGGGGGUUGGAAAGUUUCGGCGGUUGGGGAUGGACUCGCGGCUUAUCAGCUUGUUGGUGGGGUAGUGGCUUACCAAGGCUUUGACGGGUAGCCGGCCUGAGAGGGUGACCGGCCACAUUGGGACUGAGAUACGGCCCAGACUCCUACGGGAGGCAGCAGUGGGGAAUAUUGCACAAUGGGCGGAAGCCUGAUGCAGCAACGCCGCGUGCGGGAUGACGGCCUUCGGGUUGUAAACCGCUUUCGCCUGUGACGAAGCGUGAGUGACGGUAAUGGGUAAAGAAGCACCGGCUAACUACGUG
This 468-nucleotide ribosomal RNA is filed under the name uncultured bacterium. Its description in RNAcentral is "partial 16S ribosomal RNA". It matches the Rfam family "Bacterial small subunit ribosomal RNA", at positions 28 to 507 of the family's 1533-position model. The record is from RNAcentral.